Molecule: ribosomal RNA, 445 nt
Filed under: uncultured bacterium
Lineage: Bacteria
Description: partial 16S ribosomal RNA
Rfam family: Bacterial small subunit ribosomal RNA
Source: RNAcentral
CCAGACUCCUACGGGAGGCAGCAGUGGGGGAUAUUGCACAAUGGGGGAAACCCUGAUGCAGCGACGCCGCGUGAGUGAAGAAGUAAUUCGUUACGUAAAGCUCUAUCAGCAGGGAAGAAAAUGACGGUACCUGACUAAGAAGCCCCGGCUAACUACGUGCCAGCAGCCGCGGUAAUACGUAGGGGGCAAGCGUUAUCCGGAUUUACUGGGUGUAAAGGGAGCGUAGACGGCUGUGCAAGUCAGAAGUGAAAGCCCGGGGCGCAACCGCGGGACUGCUUUUGAAUCUGUGUAGCUGGAGUGCAGGAGAGGUAAGUGGAAUUCCUAGUGUAGCGGUGAAAUGCGUAGAUAUUAGGAGGAACACCGGUGGCGAAGGCGGCUUACUGGACUGUAACUGACGUUGAGGCUCGAAAGCGUGGGGAGCAAACAGGAUUAGAUACCCGUGUAA